UACGGGAGGAGCAGUGGGGAAUAUUGCACAAUGGGCGCAAGCCUGAUGCAGCCAUGCCGCGUGUAUGAAGAAGGCCUUCGGGUUGUAAAGUACUUUCAGUCGUGAGGAAGGUGUUAAGGUUAAUAACCUUAGCAAUUGACGUUAGCGACAGAAGAAGCACCGGCUAACUCCGUGCCAGCAGCCGCGGUAAUACGGAGGGUGCGAGCGUUAAUCGGAAUUACUGGGCGUAAAGGGCACGCAGGCGGUUAAUUAAGUUGGAUGUGAAAUCCCCGGGCUUAACCUGGGAAUGGCAUUCAAGACUGGUUAGCUAGAGUCUUGUAGAGGGGGUAGAAUUCCAUGUGUAGCGGUGAAAUGCGUAGAGAUGUGGAGGAAUACCGGUGGCGAAGGCGGCCCCUGGACAAAGACUGACGCUCAUGUGCGAAAGCGUGGGGAGCGAAACAGGGAUUAGAUACC
This 453-nucleotide ribosomal RNA is filed under the name uncultured bacterium. RNAcentral's name for it is "bacterial SSU rRNA". It matches the Rfam family "Bacterial small subunit ribosomal RNA", at positions 340 to 786 of the family's 1533-position model. The record is from RNAcentral.